UGGGGUAUAUUGCACAAUGGGCGCAAGUCUGAUGCAGCCAUGCCGCGUGUGUGAAGAAGGCCUUCGGGUUGUAAAGCACUUUCAGCGGGGAGGAAGGCGUUAAGGUUAAUAACCUUGGCGAUUGACGUUACCCGCAGAAGAAGCACCGGCUAACUCCGUGCCAGCAGCCGCGGUAAUACGGAGGGUGCAAGCGUUAAUCGGAAUUACUGGGCGUAAAGCGCACGCAGGCGGUCUGUCAAGUCGGAUGUGAAAUCCCCGGGCUCAACCUGGGAAAUGCAUUCGAAACUGGCAGGCUAGAGACUUGUAGAGGGGGGUAGAAUUCCAGGUGUAGCGGUGAAAUGCGUGGAGAUAUGGAGGAAUACCGGUGGCGAGGGCGGCCCCCUGGAGAAAGACUGACGCUCAGGUGCGAGAGAGUGGGGAGCAAACAGG
Molecule: ribosomal RNA, 429 nt
Filed under: Chloroflexota bacterium
Lineage: Bacteria; Bacillati; Chloroflexota
Description: Chloroflexi bacterium partial 16S ribosomal RNA
Rfam family: Bacterial small subunit ribosomal RNA
Source: RNAcentral